Molecule: ribosomal RNA, 253 nt
Filed under: uncultured bacterium
Lineage: Bacteria
Description: partial 16S ribosomal RNA
Rfam family: Bacterial small subunit ribosomal RNA
Source: RNAcentral
UACGUAGGGGGCAAGCGUUAUCCGGAUUUACUGGGUGUAAAGGGAGCGUAGACGGCCAGACAAGUCUGAAGUGAAAAUCCAGCGCUUAACGUUGGAAGUGCUUUGGAAACUGCCGGGCUAGAGUGCAGGAGGGGCAGGCGGAAUUCCUAGUGUAGCGGUGAAAUGCGUAGAUAUUAGGAGGAACACCAGUGGCGAAGGCGGCCUGCUGGACUGCAACUGACGUUGAGGCUCGAAAGCGUGGGUAGCAAACAGG